Molecule: non-coding RNA, 29 nt
Filed under: Cricetulus griseus (Chinese hamster)
Lineage: Eukaryota; Metazoa; Chordata; Mammalia; Rodentia; Cricetidae
Source: RNAcentral
ACUGGAUCGAGGGAAGAGGAAAGACAGUU